AGAGCGAACGCUGGCGGCAGGCUUAACACAUGCAAGUCGAGCGCCCCGCAAGGGGAGCGGCAGACGGGAGAGUAACACGUGGGAACGUACCUUUCGGUUCGGAACAACCCAGGGAAACUUGGGCUAAUACCGGAUACGCCCGUAAGGGGAAAGAUUUAUCGCCGGAAGAUCGGCCCGCGUCUGAUUAGCUAGUUGGUGAGGUAACGGCUCACCAAGGCGACGAUCAGUAGCUGGUCUGAGAGGAUGAUCAGCCUCACUGGGACUGAGACACGGCCCAGACUCCUACGGGAGGCAGCAGUGGGGAAUAUUGGACAAUGGCGCAAGCCUGAUCCAGCCAUGCCGCGUGGGUGAUGAAGGCCCUAGGGUUGUAAAGCCCUUUCGGCGGGGAAGAUAAUGACGGUACCCGCAGAAGAAGCCCCGGCUAACUUCGUGCCAGCAGCCGC
This 443-nucleotide ribosomal RNA is filed under the name uncultured bacterium. Its description in RNAcentral is "SSU rRNA". It matches the Rfam family "Bacterial small subunit ribosomal RNA", at positions 26 to 518 of the family's 1533-position model. The record is from RNAcentral.